Molecule: ribosomal RNA, 492 nt
Filed under: uncultured bacterium
Lineage: Bacteria
Description: partial 16S ribosomal RNA
Rfam family: Bacterial small subunit ribosomal RNA
Source: RNAcentral
GAUGAACGCUAGCUACAGGCUUAACACAUGCAAGUCGAGGGGAAACGACAUCGAAAGCUUGCUUUUGAUGGGCGUCGACCGGCGCACGGGUGAGUAACGCGUAUCCAACCUGCCCACCACUUGGGGAUAACCUUGCGAAAGUAAGACUAAUACCCAAUGAUAUCUCUAGAAGACAUCUGAAAGAGAUUAAAGAUUUAUCGGUGAUGGAUGGGGAUGCGUCUGAUUAGCUUGUUGGCGGGGUCACGGCCCACCAAGGCAACGAUCAGUAGGGGUUCUGAGAGGAAGGUCCCCCACAGGGGAACUGGGACACGGGCCAAACGCCUACGGGAGGCAGCAGUGAGGAAGAUUGGUCAAGGGACGAGAGUCUGAACCAGCCAAGUAGCGUGCAGGAAGACGGCCCUAGGGGUUGUAAACUGCUUUUAGAAGGGAAUAAAGUGAGUCUCGUGAGACUUUUUGCAUGUACCUUAUGAAUAAGGACCGGCUAAUUCCGUG